CAUUUUUCUCCUCCCCCAACACGAAAAUGACAUAAUAUUGUCCAAGUGCAAAUGACAGGGUGCUUCAACUUACUCAAGUAAAAAAAAAUAUAUUAUUUGCAUCACCUUCUACUUUAUAUAAACAGAGCAUAGGAAUUUAUGCUAGUUAUUGAUAUUACUAACCUAGAGAUGAACCUGUGGCAUGAGAUGCACCCCUCGCCCCCCGCAACCACCACCAAAUGUUACCAACAGCAUCACAUAAGCAGUCAAACUUGGUUUACAUUGAUAAAGGUGGUUUACAUUGAUAAGUGUUCUUUUAAAAAAAAUAAGAGCAUGUUUUUUCCCACCUUUUUCAAUUGUACCCUCCUACGCCGUUCCAUUCUCAAGUGGUGCAUAUUGUUCAGAAUGUGAAAAAUAAAAGACCAAACAUCCACAGGUCAACCACUAGAUCUAACAGAAACUUGAAUGCCAGUUGCAAGCACUAGAGUGAUCUAUUAAAAAAUCAGUGUUCAAAUAGUGCUUUAUCAUACUAGUAUACUACUGAUAUUAUCCUGCAGUACCAAAUGGCACAGAAGUCUGGUCAAGUAAGAAACUGAAUCUAGAUACUUUAUGAAUUACUAGUGUGAAUUACUAACUUCGUAGAUACUAGAUACAUCAAAGUCCAAUUGACCAGAAAUUGUAUAAGAAAAAAAUGCUACAAUAUGGUGCUUCCUCAUGCCAUAAUUUCUAUAUGAAUACUACCCUUAAGUAGCUUGUCCGUAUUGGAUACCAUAUACUGAAACCUUUUAUAGUAGACUGAUACUAAAAAAUGGAUACUUCCCCAUCCUAGGCAUACUGCAGACAUCUUGCAUCCAGUAAAAAGUCAAUCUUCAAGAGUACAAUAUCUAAGAAUUAGACGUCUAACUUGUAUUUCUUUAUGUAAUCUAUACGGUCUACACCAUCCUAUCGGUGUACUCUAUGUUGCCUAGUUGCAUCAGCUGCACUUGAGAGUUGAUUCUUAAAAUUAUCUAUCAGACUAUCAACAACAUUUUGUUUCUUUGGUAUAUGACACACAGCUGUAUUAAGGAGUGAUCUUGCAUUUGUGUGCCACCCACAGUUACAAAGUUCCCUGUACGUAGGCUACGGGGAAUGGAGUACGGAACAUGGAUCGCCAAUUUUAAGUUCCCAGUUCGUAGGGUGUAUACCUCUUCGGUAUGAUUGGUCCGAGAAGGGGAUCACGAUCCUUGGAUAAUUGGAACGACGUACCCGGAACAUAGCUAUGGAACGCAUCAAUUUUAAUAUCAGGAAGUGGAAACAUUUCCCUCAUAACUAAAUCAUGAAUUUGCUCACGUUUAGUAGCUAUGGGCUGGCUCUAUGGACUGAAUAGGCCCAAGCACUACUUUCAAGCCCAAUAACCAAGUGAACCCCAGUCCAGAGUCAUCGUCAUCCAUCAUUCGCACUCGUCCUUUCUUCUCCCCAAUCACCUCAGCCUGCGGCGCUCGCGUUCAUCGUUCCCUGCCCUGCCGUCCGCAUCCACCUGGCAGUCAAGCCCAGGCGCCGCCACGUGCUUUCUUUCCUCCUCGAUGAUCCAGUUUGUUUUGCUUGGGACGUCAUCCCAGGCAUGAUCUGUCAUCCGUUUCGCUCUGUUCCCGAUCCGCGAUCCGGAACGGAAGUUCUAAGGACGCAGAACGCCAGUACGAUAUGCGUUCCGCGUGACUGGUGCCACCAUACCGGUAUCAAGAAUUUUUGUUUCUAAGUUUCUAAUGACCUUUAAUGCAGAAACAUUGUUUUUAUUUAACAUGACUCCACUGCACUCUGCACAUCAGCUCAAACAAGAAAAAGCACUAUACAUUGAAAUACUUGCAACAACAGUCAACAGACCUUGAUAAAUGGAAUACUAGAUCGUAUCUCAGCAGAUGCUCACUAAGAUAUUAAAAUUUUGGACCCUAUAAAGGUACAGACUUUUGAGUAAUAAAAAGAAAACAAGCAAACAACCCUGACAGGAAAAGUUACAUUAAUCUCCUUACUUGUAUAGCAGCAACAGCUUCUAUUCCACCAGCAGCUCCUAGCAGAUGGCCU
Molecule: long non-coding RNA, 2037 nt
Filed under: Sorghum bicolor (sorghum)
Lineage: Eukaryota; Viridiplantae; Streptophyta; Magnoliopsida; Poales; Poaceae
Description: long non-coding RNA (SBIC_LNC001522)
Source: RNAcentral